Molecule: ribosomal RNA, 530 nt
Filed under: uncultured bacterium
Lineage: Bacteria
Description: bacterial SSU rRNA
Rfam family: Bacterial small subunit ribosomal RNA
Source: RNAcentral
GCAAGUCGAGCGGUAACAGAGAGGUGCUUGCACCUUUGCUGACGAGCGGCGGACGGGUGAGUAAUGCUUGGGAACAUGCCUUGAGGUGGGGGACAACAGUUGGAAACGACUGCUAAUACCGCAUAAUGUCUACGGACCAAAGGGGGCUUCGGCUCUCGCCUUUAGAUUGGCCCAAGUGGGAUUAGCUAGUUGGUGAGGUAAUGGCUCACCAAGGCGACGAUCCCUAGCUGGUUUGAGAGGAUGAUCAGCCACACUGGGACUGAGACACGGCCCAGACUCCUACGGGAGGCAGCAGUGGGGAAUAUUGCACAAUGGGGGAAACCCUGAUGCAGCCAUGCCGCGUGUGUGAAGAAGGCCUUCGGGUUGUAAAGCACUUUCAGCGAGGAGGAAAGGAAGUAGAUUAAUACUCUGCUUCUGUGACGUUACUCGCAGAAGAAGCACCGGCUAACUUCGUGCCAGCAGCCGCGGUAAUACGAGGGGUGCAAGCGUUAAUCGGAAUUACUGGGGCGUAAAGCGUGCGUAGGCGGUUU